RNAcentral lists this ribosomal RNA (254 nucleotides) under uncultured bacterium. RNAcentral's name for it is "partial 16S ribosomal RNA". It matches the Rfam family "Bacterial small subunit ribosomal RNA", at positions 524 to 776 of the family's 1533-position model. The record is from RNAcentral.
UACAGGGGGGGGCAAGCGUUGUUCGGAAUUACUGGGCGUAAAGGGCCAGUAGGCGGCCAACUAAGUCCGACGUGAAAUCCCCAGGCUUAACCUGGGAACUGCGUCGGAUACUGGAUGGCUUGAAUUCGGGAGAGGGAUGCAGAAUUCCAGGUGUAGCGGUGAAAUGCGUAGAUAUCGGAAGGAACACCUGUGGCGAAAGCGGCUCACUGGACCAUUACUGACGCUGAUGCACGAAAGCUAGGGGAGCAAACAGG